Long non-coding RNA from Lutra lutra (Eurasian river otter), 583 nucleotides. RefSeq lists it as uncharacterized. The record is from RefSeq and is a predicted model, not a curated record. NCBI's taxonomy places the organism in Eukaryota, Metazoa, Chordata, Mammalia, Carnivora, Mustelidae. The transcript is spliced from 3 exons.
UAGUUAUCAAGCGAUAAGGUAGGUGGAAGUAGAAGACCUGAUGAAGAGCCUGAGAGAGUGGUUGGAUAGAUAAUUUACUGGAGGAUCCCUUAUCAGACCUCACUCAGGUGAAGAGAGCUGCCAUUCACUCAAAUAUGCCAAUUUCUCCUAACACCAUCUUUGAGAAGAUCUGUACCUUGGAAGGGCAAGGGCAAUGUCAUCAGCGGAGCCUGACAAUAAGCAAGCAUCCCUCUGAGAUGGAUUUCUGACUGUUUGGGGCCAUGGGAAGCUUGAGCUGGGCAGCCCCAGGCAGACAGCCUUCUGCAGCAUUUUUCUUUCAGCCCUGGCCAGCAAGACACCUGGCUUGAUGCUCUGAGGACAAGACAGGUGCAACAGUAAAAUUGUGGGGACGGUUGUUCCAUAGCUUUUCUCAGUUUAUCCAGAGUAUUUUUGGGUCAUAUGAGACUAUGGCAUCCAUUCAACCAAAUCCUUUGGUAAACCUGUUAAAAACCACACUACUAAAACAAGGUGAACAUUGAGCUCUUCUUCCUUCUUACAGUGUCCAAUAAAAUACCAAAGUCAACAAACUUGUAUCAAAAAAAAU